Brassica rapa (field mustard) is the source of this 2433-nucleotide long non-coding RNA. RefSeq lists it as uncharacterized. Lineage: Eukaryota; Viridiplantae; Streptophyta; Magnoliopsida; Brassicales; Brassicaceae. The record is from RefSeq and is a predicted model, not a curated record.
AAGAAAAAAAAAAUUGAUGGCAUUUUCGUAAAUUAUAUGAACUUGUGGGGUGAAUAUGGCAAAACCAAUUUUCAAAAAAAAGGGAGGUUAGUUUUGUGUUUGACUUUAAGUUGUAGGUCAAUUUUGCAAAAAUCCCAUAACUUUAUGUCUGUCAUGAGUAAUCUUCCUUUGGGCCUUUUGUGUUUAGUCCCUUAUCUAUUAAAAUAGAAGUUAUAAUUUCUUUCAUAUGUGAUUUUUUAAAACUGACCAUUAUUAGAAAAUCAUAUUUCAUUUAUUUCUUAAUAAAAUUUUGACAUCAUUACUAAGUCACCUCACUUAUUUUUUUGACAUCAUUACUAACCAAACAAAAUCGUACUCCCUCCGUUCCUAAAAGAUCCAUGUUUUAGAAUUUUCACACUUUUUAAUAAAACAUAUUAAAAAUUAGCUAUAAAUGUAUAGUUUUUUGUAAUUUUAUAUUUCGUAUAUUUUUAAACCAAUAAGAUUUUAAGAAAUGCAAUUAAUGUUCUUAAACUUCACAAUUUUUUAUUAUUAUUUGAUAAAAAUUACAUUGGAAAUAUAAAAUAUGUAUUUUUUUGAAACAAAUUUUUUCUCUAGAAUAUGAAUAUUUUAGGAACUGAGGGAGUAUGUUUAACUUACUUAUUAUUAACCGGAAACCGGUAUUCCGAUUUAGCAUACAAUUAUUAAGCUCUGUAAACAUGAACAUAUGAUCAAGUCCGGGGCCUCAUGCGCUAGCCCUGUGUACGAACCAGCCUCGGCGUCUCCUUUUCAAGCAUCCAGCCACCCUAUGUAAGGUCUUCUGUCAGAGAGAAAUCCGUCUCUCAACAUAACUCUUCUCCAUUCCUUCUUCUUCAUGUGACUCUGAAGCUUGAGUAUCGGAUUACUCGACCAGUGAAAGACCGUCAGUUAUUGCCUCGAGCUGUAGAUAUUCCUCGGUCGGGUUUUCAGUUCGACUUCGGUCUAGAAAGGACAGUCAUGGUGAAGGCAGAGAAAAAUAACCCUGGAUGGAGCAAGUUUGGUUCUGAGAAUCCUCCACCUGCUAAGUUUCCAGCACCAACACCUUCUAUGGUUUUGAUUAUCAUCAUUAUCAAUGGAUUCCAGUGCAAACGUGUAGAUUAUCAUCAUCAACAGAAAAUAGGACACCUUACUUUUGACAAAUAUGACCAGUUAGCUAUAGAAUUUGUCAUUGCUCCUGCAAAUAUUGGUGCGUAGUCUUUUGGAAUUCCUCAGCACAGUCUUUUAAAGCCAAAGGUAUUGCUGGGAUCAUUGUUCAUGCCGUUGCUAAGACUAACGCCAUUGUUGCUGGUUUGAUUGUUAUUGAAGCAAUAAAAGUGCUGAAAAAGGAUGUGGACAAGUACAGUCUGUUACUUUAAAACUUUCUUUCACCGUAUUUCAUAAGCUUCAGAAUACUUAGUAUCUUAUUUAAAUCAUUUUAUUCCAAUAUCUAUCUGUGGAAUGACAUAUUGCUUAGAACACCCAAGCCAAGAGAUACUUCUUAUGCCAUUUGAGCCUAAUCCAUAUUAUUUACGAGUUUGUGUGUUUGUUUAUGUUUCCAUUUUUACUUGGAUUUUAACGUGAUUUGAUUAGAUUGAAUGAGGUAUGAAUUCUUUGCAAUGGUUCAAAAAUGAAUUUUUUGGUAACUAAAAUUUAUACCCGCACGGAUGUGCGGAUCGAGAUCUAGUUUUAUAUACUAAAACUAAAGUCACCUAAACGAAUCAAAUACAACACAUGAAAAAGUUUUACAAAACAAUUAAAACUAAAAAUAAUUGAAAUUAAAAUUUCUUUGAUCUCCUAUUUUUCUCAAAAACUUUAAGCUAAGUUGAUUUAUUUAUUUUGCAUGUUUUCUUCAUCUCCUAUAUAAAUUAAUCUACUCUUCUCGGUUAUUUCUAAACGCAGAUAGUACUUUAACAUUUUAAAUCUCCAUAUCCAUUUGUCUUCAUCGACAACUACCUAUAUUCAAAGGUGAGAUUUCUCAAAUUGUUAGCGAGAAACUGAGAUUGUUUUCUUAAAUUCUCUUCAAAGGUGAGGUUUAUUCUCUAAAUUAAAAUUACAUAUAAACUGUUAUACUUAAUAAUACAAUCCAUUCAAGAACAUCAAACAUCAUCAAGGCAUAGAAAAUGUUUUUUUCUAAUGUAUAAAAUUCAUGAUGCAUCUUUAAGCAUUAAAUAUUAUGAAAAUUCACAUAAUACCAUAUUCCUAAUACCACUUUUCAUGUUUACUUUAAUCACUUUUAAAGAGGUAAAAAGAUUUUAAUAAUUCUAGAGUUAACUAAUCUAGACUUAGAGUUUAGAGUUAAGGGGUAGGAUAGGGUUUUGGAAUGUGAAGUUUAGGAUUAUAAUAAAUAUAUUAAUAAAUACUUUAAAAUUUUUGAAUUUUUUAAAAAAAGUUUCAGAAAGAAAUUUCGAAUUUCAAAAACAAAAUUUGAAAACAAACUUU